CUUUUUUUUUUUUUUUACUUCUUUUUGGAGUAGUGUAACCCAUAAAAGCACCAUUCUAGAGUAUGCUUUGAGGCAUAACCAAUUAUUGGGUUAGUGUGUUUUCACUUAUUUAUCCACAAUGCAUCUAUUGGUGCUGUCAUUUUUAUCUAAUUUUAAUAUCUAGGGAUAUGAACAGCAACACGUAGAGGGUGAGUGUUGUGGAAAAUGAGUGCAGACUAAGUGUAUUAUACAUACAUCUCACAGUUCCAGUCUCAUUCUGAACGUAAAUAUGCUCUACAUGUUACCUCUCUACCAAACUGUGCAUCUGAAAUGUCAGCAACCUGAAGCAAAGACAAUCUACAGUAUUUUGGUAUGAGGGAAGCAUUAAUGAAAUCAAUUUUUCUUCUAGGCUUUUUCUGGAAUGAUAAGCCUGUAAUAUCAUGGAAAAGUUUUUGUGUUGUUUAUUUAGUUACUUAUAUGUUGAUGAUUAUAAGCUUGAAAUUUUCUCCGUUAUUUAGUUUCUGUGCACUGAAGAAUGUUAGAAACACCUGCACGUGAAACAAUGUUACUGCCGCUAUUUAGCUUUCCCUUUGUUUGUAUUGUUAAUGUGCUUUAAGUGCUCCGGGCACUUUCUUUUUCUAGGGAAGUCCCACGAGAUUCUCUCCGCUUGUGGCAAACUGCAAUGUAUGUAAAAUUAUGUAUUCAAAAUUGCUCUUAACCUAAAAAUAAUUGACUGAGAAACAAUAUGAAAGUCAUUUUCAGAGGAGAGGAACGUUUCUCUGAGUUUCCUUCACCUCUUUCUAUCACAUUUUGUAUUUCACUUGCAGCCUGGAGAGUUCAUAAACGAUCCUUACAACAACUGCACCAUUUAUAGUUGUACACAUCUCAAGAACCAGCUUAUCUCUUCCACAUCUGAAAUUACAUGUCCUGCAUUCAAAGAGGAGAACUGCUAAACUGCGUACCUCUGGAUAGCACCACGCCAUGCUCUGUCCGUGAGAGAAAAGACUUUAUUGUCUAUAAGAACUGCCGUUCUCUGAAGAGAGUUGUCCUGACUGAAUGUGAAGGAACACGUGCAACUUUUUCUCUAUUCCUGAAGGUGGCUUGAAGAACUGCGUAUCCCAAAUAUCUCAACCUAGAAGCCAGUCUCUCUGAUAGCUACGAGAUAUUUUGAGACUUCAGGUUAUAAAGUGCCAAAGGGAAUGAGAAGCAGGGGGUCUGGCAGGUGACUGCGUCUAAGUCAGAUAACAGACUAAUGCCAGGAAAUGAAGCGCUGGAAAUCACUGCCGACGGUGACUGGAGUUUCUCACCAUGUCGUCGAACGUGUGAGAAAUAGCACAGGUCAGCAAAGUGACAAGGGACUAUCGCAUCAAGGAUGGACGUGUACGAUCUGCUCACCGCUGUCCAGUAGCGCACCGCUGUGCUGCGCAGCGCUCGAAUGCCACUCCGGUGACUUUCCAGUGAAGAGCAAACAAUAUAUUUAAUGUGUUAAUUAUGUUGCCUGCAUAAUUAACAGAUAUUUAUAUAAUGAAAUAAUACGAUAUAUAUAUAUGUAUGUAUAUGUAUGUAUAUAUGUAUGUAUAUAUGAAGACAGGUUUUAAUUACAACUGCAAUGUAUUUUGUUUUUGUAUUGUACUGACAACUUCAGCUCUACUGAGGUGUAACAAGCGUGAUGCCUCGUCAACAUUACCCCAUCUCGCCUUCCUUGCAAUUGGAUCCUUUACACUGAAUUCUCAUCCUUUUUCUGUUUUAUUGUUGGUUUUUUUUUUGUUAGUUUGUUUUGUUGGUUUGUCGUGAUUCUGUUCUUUUUUUAAUGUAGUUUUGUUUUGUGUGUGUGUGUAAAUUUUAUAUAUACUGAAGUUAAGGUUGUUUUUGUAUAAACAUUUAAACUUUAAGAAGGAAUAAAAGAAAAGCUAAUUUUGGUUCUCAAACUCUCUCUUCUAAAACAUGCUGUAGAAAGAAAUUUGUGUUAAAUAAAACAGUUAGCUGUUAAAUGCAAACGCGUGUCUGUUUUCAUGGGGAGGGGAGAAAGCCCUGCUGAAAACGUAUCUGAAAUCCCACUCGCUGAGAGCAUCCGGCGUUUGCAAUCCGUUUCCCGUUUUCCUGUGUCGGGUUGAAGUUUGGGCACUACCGAAUCAGCACGAGUCCUGUUUUACUGACAUUGUCAGUUUCUGGGGGGAAAUACACUCACGCCCUGCGUGGCGGCUGUGGAACAAAGAUGCCGAUUCCGUACC
Molecule: long non-coding RNA, 2210 nt
Organism: Coturnix japonica (Japanese quail)
Lineage: Eukaryota; Metazoa; Chordata; Aves; Galliformes; Phasianidae
Source: RefSeq, a predicted model, not a curated record